UCCUAUUUUCUCAGAGACCACAUAAAGCCAUCUCCUUGAUGCACUUGAUCUCCACUGGUCCUGAAGAAGGUGUUUUCCUGUGAAGCUGAUGCGAGCAUCUCCUACAAAAGUGUAUUUCACAGCUGUCCCAAUCUCAUGGUAUCUGUCAUAACAAAAUCCUGUUUGCCUCUGCUUAAAAAGGAACAAGUAGUACAUUAAGAAGCUGCAAGAGAGGAGGCUGAGAUGGUAUGGACAUGUCCGAAGGAUGGAAGAAGGGAUUCCUGCUAUGAGGCAUUUGAGACUAGAAGUCAUGGUGGAGAACAAAAGGCUGUCCAGUCAAAUGGGAAAUAGUACAGGAGGAUGGAAUGGAUAUGGACCGAGCGUU
Molecule: long non-coding RNA, 364 nt
Organism: Dermochelys coriacea (leatherback sea turtle)
Lineage: Eukaryota; Metazoa; Chordata; Testudines; Dermochelyidae
Exons: 3
Source: RefSeq, a predicted model, not a curated record